AGAGUUUGAUCCUGGCUCAGGACGAACGCUGGCGGCGUGCCUAAUACAUGCAAGUCGAGCGGACAGAAGGGAGCUUGCUCCCGGAUGUUAGCGGCGGACGGGUGAGUAACACGUGGGUAACCUGCCUGUAAGACUGGGAUAACUCCGGGAAACCGGAGCUAAUACCGGAUAGUUCCUUGAACCGCAUGGUUCAAGGAUGAAAGACGGUUUCGGCUGUCACUUACAGAUGGACCCGCGGCGCAUUAGCUAGUUGGUGGGGUAAUGGCUCACCAAGGCGACGAUGCGUAGCCGACCUGAGAGGGUGAUCGGCCACACUGGGACUGAGACACGGCCCAGACUCCUACGGGAGGCAGCAGUAGGGAAUCUUCCGCAAUGGACGAAAGUCUGACGGAGCAACGCCGCGUGAGUGAUGAAGGUUUUCGGAUCGUAAAGCUCUGUUGUUAGGGAAGAACAAGUGCGAGAGUAACUGCUCGCACCUUGACGGUACCUAACC
This 493-nucleotide ribosomal RNA is filed under the name Bacillus sp. BacB1. RNAcentral describes it as "bacterial SSU rRNA". It matches the Rfam family "Bacterial small subunit ribosomal RNA", at positions 8 to 484 of the family's 1533-position model. The record is from RNAcentral. Lineage: Bacteria; Bacillati; Bacillota; Bacilli; Caryophanales; Bacillaceae.